CGGCCGUGGCCCCCGAGGUAUGGGAUGGCUUUAAGUGCAGGAAGUGUCACGGGUUCCUCUCCGACCCGGUGUCCCUGUGGUGCGGCCACACCUUUUGUAAACUGUGCCUGGAGCGCGGGCGAGCCGCCGAUAGGCGCUGCGCUCUGUGCGGGGUCAAGCUCUCCGCACUCAUGGUGGCCAGUGGGAGGGCACGCGGGCCGCGGCGCUCGGGGCCGCAGGCGCCACUGCAACUGCGAGUCAACGUGGUACUCAGCGGUCUCCUGGGCAAGUUGUUCCCGGGCCCCGCGCGAGCGUCGCAACUCCGGCACGAGGGCAACCGGCUGUACCGUGAGCGCCAGGUGGAGGCGGCUCUGCUCAA
This 358-nucleotide long non-coding RNA is filed under the name Rattus norvegicus (Norway rat). RNAcentral's name for it is "long non-coding RNA NONRATT030758". Lineage: Eukaryota; Metazoa; Chordata; Mammalia; Rodentia; Muridae. The record is from RNAcentral.